GUUACUGGGGUGGGAUAGCCAUGCGAGUUGAGCGUCACCUAGCCAUGUUGGAGACGCAGCGUACGGCUCAAUAUCACGUAGUCAAUCUGCCCUCGGGACGAGAACAACCCUGGGAAACUGGGGGUAAUUCUCGAUAGGCGCAGUGGCCUGGAACGGUACUGCACCUAAAGGACUUUAGGUACAUGCUCCUGAAGUCGCCCUAGGAUGAGACUGCGGCCGAUCAGGUUGUUGGUGGGGUAACGGCUCACCAAACCUUUGACCGGUACGGGCCAUGAGAGUGGUAGCCCGGAGAUGGGCACUGAGACAGGGGCCCAGGCCCUACGGGGCGCAGCAGGCGCGAAAUCUCCACAAUAUACGAAAGUAUGAUGGGGUUACCUCGAGUGCAGUCCGAUAAGGGUUGCUUUUCCAUAGAGUAAUAUCCUGUGGGAAUAAGAGGGGGGCAAGACUGGUGUCAGCCGCCGCGGUAACACCAGCCCCUCGAGUGGUGGGGACUAUUAUUUGGCCUAAAGCGUCCGUAGUCGGCUGUGUCCGUUAUCCGUUAAAUCCGGCGUCCUAAGCGUCGGGCUGCGGGUGAUACCACACAGCUAGAGGGUGGGAUAGGUAAGCGGUAUUUCUGGGGUAGGGGCGAAAUCCUUUGAUCCCAGGAGGACCACCAGUGGCGAAGGCUGCUUACUAGAACACGCCUGACGAUCAGGGACGAAAGCUGGGGUAGCGAACCGGAUUAGAUACCCGGGUAGUCCCAGCUGUAAACGAUGCGCGCUAGGUGUUGGGUCGGCCACGCGCCGCCCCAGUGCCGCAGGGAAGCCGUUAAGCGCGCCGCCUGGGGAGUACGGCCGCAAGGCUGAAACUUAAAGGAAUUGGCGGGGGAGCACCACCAGGCGUGAAGCCUGCGGUUUAAUUGGAGUCAACGCCGGA
This 915-nucleotide ribosomal RNA is filed under the name uncultured archaeon. RNAcentral's name for it is "bacterial SSU rRNA". It matches the Rfam family "Archaeal small subunit ribosomal RNA", at positions 29 to 922 of the family's 1478-position model. The record is from RNAcentral.